This 155-nucleotide non-coding RNA is filed under the name Actinomycetota bacterium. Its description in RNAcentral is "Actinobacteria bacterium 6S RNA". It matches the Rfam family "6S / SsrS RNA". From Rfam's summary of the family: E. coli 6S RNA was the first non coding RNA to be sequenced, but its function was unknown until recently. The record is from RNAcentral. Lineage: Bacteria; Bacillati; Actinomycetota.
ACCGCUCGACCUUGUGCGUGUACUCGCGGCAUUUGUUGAGCCAACAGUAACACCUCGGGAGCCCGCCGUCGGUCGGGUCCUUGGACUCAUCGAGAGGGCGCCCACCUGCGAAAGCAGGUUCAACAAUAAAGCGAGCACGGCAAGGUGGAGCAUCU